CGCAGGGCGUCCUCUGUGGAGAUAGCAUUUCCUGUAGAGCACUGAUCGGAUGGUAUGGGAUAGAAAUAUCUCGCCACCCCUUCAAACUCCGAAUGGAUAUGCAUCGUAGAAGCAAGGAGACGGGUUCGUGUGACGUAAGGUUCACGACCGAAAGGGGUUUAACCCAGACUAAAGUUAAGGUCCCCAAAUCUUUACUAAGUGUCAAGCAAAAGGGCGUGUUCAUGCCAAGACAGCAGGGAGGUAAGCUCAGAAGCAGCUAUCCUUUAAAAAGUGUGUAACAACUUACCUGCCGAGUGUGGGCGCCCCAAAAAUGGACGGGACUAAAGUAAAGUACCGAUACUUUGGAUACUUGUCGAAAGACAAGUCAUGGUAGGUUGGCGUAGUGAUUGGGCUGAAGCAGGGCAGUGAUGUCCUGUGGACCGAUUUCUAUUGCAGAUCCUGGUGGCAGUAACAGCAUAGUAGUGUGAGAAACACUACCACCGCAAGCGCAAGGGUUUCCAGGCAAUGCGUUAUCAGCCUGGAGUUAGUCGAUCCUAAGAAUUGCCUCAACAGAGUAAUUCGAAUGGGAAACUGGUUAAUAUUCCAGUACCUUGCUAACACAUUAUCAUCUAUAUGAAUCGCUUCUAGAUAGGGGAAGUAGAACCAUCGUUUUAUCUAACUGUUCGAGAUUCAGGGAGUGUCGUAAUGACGAGAACUGAUUCGAGGCAGGAAUGGCUCUGCGUUAGCAGAGUUUUCUCAACUCUAGGGGACCAUGAAAGAUUAUGUAGAGAGUGUUAGCAAGUUCGUACCGAGAACCGACACAGGUGCGCUGGCUUAGAAAGCUAAGGUGCUACGGGUAUACCGUAUGGCGAGGGAAUUCGGCAAAUUAGUCCUGUAGCUUCGGUAUAAGGGAUACCUGCUGUUUUAAUGAGGAAUUGGGACAGCAGGUUGCAAUGACUAGGGGGUUCCGACUGUUUAAUAAAAACACAGGCGACUGCUAGUCCGAAAGGAUUUGUAUAGUCGCUGAAUCCUGGCCGGUGCAGGUACCUAAAACUUGGGUUCAACCGAGCUAAGGGCCUGUUAACGCCGGGAGUAACUCUGACUCUCUUAAGGUAGCCAAAUGCCUUGUC
Molecule: ribosomal RNA, 1109 nt
Filed under: Candidatus Bathyarchaeota archaeon
Lineage: Archaea; Thermoproteati; Candidatus Bathyarchaeota
Description: partial 23S ribosomal RNA
Rfam family: Archaeal large subunit ribosomal RNA
Source: RNAcentral